GGUAAUUCUAGACUUUUGUCGAAAGAACAUCUCCUCAAUCUCACGAAGGAAAGACCACUUUUGAUGGAGUUCCUUUUCAGCACGAAACGAGUCUUGGCAUGGAUCCUGAAGAGCUUGUACCUGCGCACGUUGUAACAAACUGGACCAAUAUAGCGGAGAUCGAAGACACCCAGUUGUAGGAGACAGUCUUGCAGUUGGUACAUCAGGGAGUCAUGCACAGAGACAGUGGGACUAGAAUGCUCAUACGGGUGAAUAUUCUGAUUGAGAUCUCCUCCAAUGAUCCAGUUACAGUUGUCCAAAUCAAACCGAGACUGCAGUUGAAUCAGCUCUGCACAUAGGUCAGUUCUUUCAUCACUAAGGUUCGAAGCAUAGUGACUGGCUAGCUGAAGCAUAGGUCAGUUCUUUCAUCACUAAGGUUCGAAGCAUAGUCUCUGAUAUAGUUGCCACCAGGUUAGAAAUUCAACCUCAAAGUGACUGGCUAGCUACUCUAAAUCAGAUGACAGCGCUCAACUUACCAAAGCAUCACCGUAAGCUGGUUCUGAUGGCUUGGCAGGCGACUCUAUACUGGCUUUGGAAUGAGAGGAACAAUCGAAUGCAUGCAAACGUCUUCCGUCCGGUUGAUUCAAUCUUCAAACUGAUUGAUCGGCAACUGAUCAACAAGGUGCAGAGCUUCAGAGAAUCAAACCCCUUACUUUCCUCAAGGAUGAUGCAGACUUGGCUACUAUUAUCUUGAUCUGAGCAUCGCCUUCUUGCUCCUCCAUCAGCGACUCUCGUCUUCUCCGCUAGAGACCUUUUGGCUACUGAAAUAUUACUUGGGCUGGGCUACUUUUUCUAUUUUCAUCUGGGCUUUGAUGGGCUCUGAAAAUUAGGUUCUUUGUGUGAUUCUAACUGGGCUAAUUUCUAUAAAAGUUUUGGGUCU
Raphanus sativus (radish) is the source of this 919-nucleotide long non-coding RNA. RefSeq lists it as uncharacterized. The transcript has 2 exons. The record is from RefSeq and is a predicted model, not a curated record. NCBI's taxonomy places the organism in Eukaryota, Viridiplantae, Streptophyta, Magnoliopsida, Brassicales, Brassicaceae.